Molecule: ribosomal RNA, 470 nt
Filed under: uncultured beta proteobacterium
Lineage: Bacteria; Pseudomonadati; Pseudomonadota; Betaproteobacteria
Description: bacterial SSU rRNA
Rfam family: Bacterial small subunit ribosomal RNA
Source: RNAcentral
GGAGGAAAGCAGGGGAUCGCAAGACCUUGCGCUCAUUGAGCGGCCGAUGCCUGAUUAGCUAGUUGGUGAGGUAAAGGCUUACCAAGGCGACGAUCAGUAGCUGGUCUGAGAGGACGACCAGCCACACUGGGACUGAGACACGGCCCAGACUCCUACGGGAGGCAGCAGUGGGGAAUUUUGGACAAUGGGGGAAACCCUGAUCCAGCCAUGCCGCGUGAGUGAAGAAGGCCUUCGGGUUGUAAAGCUCUUUCAGCCGGAACGAAACGGUCACGGCUAAUACCUGUGACUACUGACGGUACCGGAAGAAGAAGCACCGGCUAACUACGUGCCAGCAGCCGCGGUAAUACGUAGGGUGCGAGCGUUAAUCGGAAUUACUGGGCGUAAAGCGUGCGCAGGCGGUUUUGUAAGUCAGAAGAGAAAUCCCCGGGCUUAACCUGGGAACUGCGUUUAAAAUAGAAGGCUAGAAGGGC